Molecule: long non-coding RNA, 426 nt
Organism: Acanthopagrus latus (yellowfin seabream)
Lineage: Eukaryota; Metazoa; Chordata; Actinopteri; Spariformes; Sparidae
Exons: 3
Source: RefSeq, a predicted model, not a curated record
GUUUACUGCAAUGGUUCAGUUUUUUCACAGCAAUGGCGGAGCAUGGAACCCCGCAAAAGUUCCCCGAAGUUAGCUUUCGCUAACUUCCACUCAAUGUAAUUCUUAUGGAGCACACGGUCGGAGCAACACUUGAUCAAGGUGAUAUCAUCUUGCACAUAUUUGGGAACCUUCAGUAGGAGCAUAGUGUUGUGGAGCAUCAGUGAUGCUGCAGGCCAGGAGUACUGAGUGAACCAUAGUGAUACUGGAAACAUAGUAAGCAUGAUGGAAGCCUGCUGGAGCAUGCCAGAGCUUCCUUCUCCAGCACACCCACUGCGUUUGGAAGCUCCAUGAGGGAGGAACCAGUCUUUGUCCCUCCCUUCACUUGGUUUUUGCAUUGUUUAUCCUGUUAUGUGUUCUCUGUUUUUAAUUAAAACAAUCUUAAACUUC